Molecule: long non-coding RNA, 1656 nt
Organism: Cyprinus carpio carpio
Lineage: Eukaryota; Metazoa; Chordata; Actinopteri; Cypriniformes; Cyprinidae
Source: Ensembl
AUAUUUUUGGAUUGUAUUGCACACUAAAUGGCCGCGCGCCGAGACAAAGACAGCAGCUCGAGCUCAUUAAUCUCUGUCGAGGGGAGCUCGGGUGCGAGCCGCGUGACUGAAGUAACGGCGCGUGCUGUCGGGACCGGCUUCCCGAGCCGCCUUUGAUUCCCGCGAAGCGAUCAAUCAGACCGAACCUCGGGACCGGGCCGCUUCUGCUAGAAGUACUAAUUACUCUGACACCGUUCCAGAGCGAACAUGAACACCUUCACUGUGUGAAGACGCGAGUCUGUGUCUCUGACCUGCUGAUAUAAACUCAUGAGAAAUAUUAUUUACACGCUUUCAGUGUUCAGGCGUUUGAUUCACAGAGAGGCCCAUCUCUCCCAGAUUUAUAAUUAUCACAGUCCUUACAAAAUAACAUAUCUACCUGUCAUUAGCAAGAAGCAGAUGAUAUGAAUGUCUGUUUCCACACAUUCAGGUGGGAUGUACUCUGAGAGCCUGUGCUGGUUCCUCUGGGAAUAUGAAGUGUGUUUGUGUUUCUGCAGCUCGGUUUGCGUUCGGUGUGAUCUUCUAAACUCAGGGCUGUUUCUGUGUGUUAUCGGUCGGUGUGUUGUGCGGAUCUUUUGUGAAGUAGCUGCUCCGGCAUUCUUUCAUUAUCUGGAGCAACAAAGAAAGUCUUUUGUUUGCAGUUUUCCUGCAGGCGCCUCCAUCCGUCCGUAACUUACUACUGUCCCCUGCUGGCCGUCCACAGCACUCUACAGGACCCCUGGCUCUGUGUGUGUGUGUGUGUGUGUGUUGAGCUGCAGUAAAUGUGUCUGGAGUAACACACACUGGACUGUGUUUGUAAUUGUGCUAAAACGCUGAGAGGAAGAGCUCAUCCGAACACCACGUUUGCUGGGGUUUUCUGCGGGGGGUUAAACGUCUCGGCUGACAGUUCACGGAUGUGCAGUCAGGUUACUCAUGUCAAAUGACCAAUUAAAGGGGCUAUAGAGGAUGGCAGGGCGGUCUCUAGUGCUGCGCUCUCACGGGACACCAAUCAAACGAGAGCUCUAUCACUCAAAUGUAAACUGGAUUCAUUCAUUAGCCAUUUACCAGCCCUAUCAUUAUUCAUUACACACAUGCACAGAGAGACGCGUCUGCCAGGGGACACAGCACAGAGCAAGAGACAGUUCUGCUGUGGCACUGCAUCCCAUUAAUUGACCCUUUUGGUGAGAUAUUAUUAAAAUGAUAGUUACAUUGAUUUUGAAGCAUGCAUUCUGGAUUUAGUAAAAACUCUAAAAACAUUUUUUAUUACUUAAAAAUUCCUCAGAAAUGAUAUUUUUGAACUAAAUCCUAAAAUUAAUGUCACAAUGGGUAAUAAAUGGCAAAAAUAUUCAAUAUGAGUGUGCACAUCUCAUAAUACUGAAGCGCUGCAAUUUAAGACAUUUACUUCAGAAUUAGAGCAUGCACUCUUGAUUUUGUAUAAACAGUGGUACAUUUGUAUUAUUUAAAGAUCCCUGUGGACUUUUAAUGAUCUUUUUGAACUAAAUUCUAAAAUUAAUGUCAUUACAGGUUUUAAAUAAUCAUUAUGAAUUUGCUCAUCUCAUAAUACUGAAGCACUGCAAUUUAAGACAUUAACAGAAGUGCCGUAUUCCUUUUACUCAGUGUGUGUGUGUGAGUGUGUCUCCC